CAAGGGACCAUGGAGAAAAAUAGCGGGUCGAGAGCUUCUUUUUCCACCGGAGCUUGCUCCACCGGAAAAAGAGGAGUGGCGAACGGGUGAGUAACACGUGGGUAACCUGCCCAUCAGAAGGGGAUAACACUUGGAAACAGGUGCUAAUACCGUAUAACAAUCGAAACCGCAUGGUUUUGAUUUGAAAGGCGCUUUCGGGUGUCGCUGAUGGAUGGACCCGCGGUGCAUUAGCUAGUUGGUGAGGUAACGGCUCACCAAGGCGACGAUGCAUAGCCGACCUGAGAGGGUGAUCGGCCACAUUGGGACUGAGACACGGCCCAAACUCCUACGGGAGGCAGCAGUAGGGAAUCUUCGGCAAUGGACGAAAGUCUGACCGAGCAACGCCGCGUGAGUGAAGAAGGUUUUCGGAUCGUAAAACUCUGUUGUUAGAGAAGAACAAGGAUGAGAGUAACUGUUCAUCCCUUGACGGUAUCUAACCAGAAAGCCACGGCUAACUACGUGCCAGCAGCCGCGGUAAUACGUAGGUGGCAAGCGUUGUCCGGAUUUAUUGGGCGUAAAGCGAGCGCAGGCGGUUUCUUAAGUCUGAUGUGAAAGCCCCCGGCUCAACCGGGGAGGGUCAUUGGAAACUGGGAGACUUGAGUGCAGAAGAGGAGAGUGGAAUUCCAUGUGUAGCGGUGAAAUGCGUAGAUAUAUGGAGGAACACCAGUUGCCGAAGGCGGCUCUCUGGUCUGUAACUGACGCUGAGGCUCGAAAGCGUGGGGAGCAAACAGGAUUAGAUACCUGGUAGUCCACGCCGUAAACGAUGAGUGCUAAGUGUUGGAGGGUUUCCGCCCUUCAGUGCUGCAGCUAACGCAUUAAGCACUCCGCCUGGGGAGUACGACCGCAAGGUUGAAACUCAAAGGAAUUGACGGGGGCCCGCACAAGCGGUGGAGCAUGUGGUUUAAUUCGAAGCAACGCGAAGAACCUUACCAGGUCUUGACAUCCUUUGACCACUCUAGAGAUAGAGCUUCCCCUUCGGGGGCAAAGUGACAGGUGGUGCAUGGUUGUCGUCAGCUCGUGUCGUGAGAUGUUGGGUUAAGUCCCGCAACGAGCGCAACCCUUAUUGUUAGUUGCCAUCAUUUAGUUGGGCACUCUAGCAAGACUGCCGGUGACAAACCGGAGGAAGGUGGGGAUGACGUCAAAUCAUCAUGCCCCUUAUGACCUGGGCUACACACGUGCUACAAUGGGAAGUACAACGAGUCGCAAAGUCGCGAGGCUAAGCUAAUCUCUUAAAGCUUCUCUCAGUUCGGAUUGUAGGCUGCAACUCGCCUACAUGAAGCCGGAAUCGCUAGUAAUCGCGGAUCAGCACGCCGCGGUGAAUACGUUCCCGGGCCUUGUACACACCGCCCGUCACACCACGAGAGUUUGUAACACCCGAAGUCGGUGAGGUAACCUCUGAGACCCCAGCUCCCCCAUAGUAAGGCGUU
RNAcentral lists this ribosomal RNA (1466 nucleotides) under Enterococcus hirae. RNAcentral's name for it is "bacterial SSU rRNA". It matches the Rfam family "Bacterial small subunit ribosomal RNA". Lineage: Bacteria; Bacillati; Bacillota; Bacilli; Lactobacillales; Enterococcaceae. The record is from RNAcentral.